This 42-nucleotide non-coding RNA is filed under the name Trypanosoma brucei brucei. Lineage: Eukaryota; Euglenozoa; Kinetoplastea; Trypanosomatida; Trypanosomatidae. The record is from RNAcentral.
AUUAAACAAAAAGAAAUCACGUGAAAGAUAGAAUAGAGAUAU